UACGGAAUGUGCAAACGUUAUUCGGAAUCACUGGGCUUAAAGAGUCCGUAGGCGGCAUGUUAGGUGAGGUGUGAAAUCCCCCGGCUUAACCGAGGAAUUGCGCUUCAAACCGGCGUGCUUGAGGAAGAUAGAGGUGGGCGGAACUGAUGGUGGAGCGGUGAAAUGCGUUGAUAUCAUCAGGAAUACCGGAGGCGAAGGCGGCUCACUGGGGGUUAUCUGACGCUGAGACACGAAAGCCAGGGGAGCGAACGGG
RNAcentral lists this ribosomal RNA (253 nucleotides) under uncultured bacterium. Its description in RNAcentral is "partial 16S ribosomal RNA". It matches the Rfam family "Bacterial small subunit ribosomal RNA", at positions 524 to 776 of the family's 1533-position model. The record is from RNAcentral.